This 403-nucleotide ribosomal RNA is filed under the name uncultured bacterium. Its description in RNAcentral is "partial 16S ribosomal RNA". It matches the Rfam family "Bacterial small subunit ribosomal RNA", at positions 30 to 526 of the family's 1533-position model. The record is from RNAcentral.
AUUGAACGCUGGCGGCAGGCCUAACACAUGCAAGUCGAGCGAGCGGCGGACGGGUGAGUAAUGUAUGGGGACUGCCCGAUAGAGGGGGAUAACUACUGGAAACGGUAGCUAAUACCGCAUACUAUCGGAUAACCCAUAUGGGAUUAGCUAGUGGAGGAGGUAAUGGCUCACCUAGGCGACGAUCCCAAGCUUGUCUGAGAGGAUGAUCAGCUACACUGGAUCUGGGACACGGCCCAAACUCCUACGGAGGCAGCAGUGGGGAUAAUUGCACAAUGGGGGAAAGCCGGUGGCAGCCAUGCCGCGUGUAUGAAGAAGGCCCUAGGGUUGUAAAGUACUUUCAGUCGGGAGACGUUACCGACAGAAGAAGCACCGGCUAACUCCGUGCCAGCAGCCGCGGUAAUAC